GACCAGCCUUUCUGCUAAGGGCUUUAAUAUUGUCUAUGAUAUUAAUGGACGCGAGGCCACUGAAGUAUCCCCCAUACUAGAAGCGUUGCCAAACUUGGAACAGUUUAUCUAUUGCUCAUCGGCAGGAGUCUACCUUAAGUCAGACCUGCUCCCACACUUUGAGGUAUAUUUCCAUACCACUCACAUGGAUGUCAACAUGAAGUCGUCACCAUUACUGACUCGUGGCA
Molecule: long non-coding RNA, 227 nt
Organism: Hordeum vulgare subsp. vulgare (domesticated barley)
Lineage: Eukaryota; Viridiplantae; Streptophyta; Magnoliopsida; Poales; Poaceae
Exons: 3
Source: RefSeq, a predicted model, not a curated record